GGAAAGCAAUCCUGCUGUGACAUGUCACCCCACUGAUGGCCAGGAUUGAUGCGGUUGAUGUGGCUGGCUAAACAGAUGUCCUUUCUUACUGAUCCAUGUACAUCCUUCCCAAAGCUGUAUGCUCAGUCCAGAGGAUGCCAUCCCCAGGCGGGGAAGUGCCUUCCUCAGUCGGGGAUACAAGUAGCUGCUUCCCUGCUAGAACCUCUAAACAAGCUGUCAAGAAUGUGCCAGGUAUGGUGGUGCAUGCCUGAAAUCCCAGCACCUGGGAAGCUG
Molecule: unclassified non-coding RNA, 273 nt
Organism: Cavia porcellus (domestic guinea pig)
Lineage: Eukaryota; Metazoa; Chordata; Mammalia; Rodentia; Caviidae
Gene: 7SK
Rfam family: 7SK RNA
About the family: 7SK was discovered as an abundant small nuclear RNA in the mid-70s but a possible function has only recently been suggested. Two independent studies have found that 7SK RNA binds the CDK9/cyclin T complex (known as elongation factor P-TEFb). P-TEFb activates transcription by phosphorylating the C-terminal domain of RNA polymerase II.
Source: Ensembl